GUCGAGCGAACGGACGAGAAGCUUGCUUCUCUGAUGUUAGCGGCGGACGGGUGAGUAACACGUGGAUAACCUACCUAUAAGACUGGGAUAACUUCGGGAAACCGGAGCUAAUACCGGAUAAUAUUUUGAACCGCAUGGUUCAAAAGUGAAAGACGGUCUUGCUGUCACUUAUAGAUGGAUCCGCGCUGCAUUAGCUAGUUGGUAAGGUAACGGCUUACCAAGGCAACGAUGCAUAGCCGACCUGAGAGGGUGAUCGGCCACACUGGAACUGAGACACGGUCCAGACUCCUACGGGAGGCAGCAGUAGGGAAUCUUCCGCAAUGGGCGAAAGCCUGACGGAGCAACGCCGCGUGAGUGAUGAAGGUCUUCGGAUCGUAAAACUCUGUUAUUAGGGAAGAACAUAUGUGUAAGUAACUGUGCACAUCUUGACGGUACCUAAUCAGAAAGCCACGGCUAACUACGUGCCAGCAGCCGCGGUAAUACGUAGGUGGCAAGCGUUAUCCGGAAUUAUUGGGCGUAAAGCGCGCGUAGGCGGUUUUUUAAGUCUGAUGUGAAAGCCCACGGCUCAACCGUGGAGGGUCAUUGGAAACUGGAAAACUUGAGUGCAGAAGAGGAAAGUGGAAUUCCAUGUGUAGCGGUGAAAUGCGCAGAGAUAUGGAGGAACACCAGUGGCGAAGGCGACUUUCUGGUCUGU
Molecule: ribosomal RNA, 694 nt
Filed under: uncultured Staphylococcus sp.
Lineage: Bacteria; Bacillati; Bacillota; Bacilli; Caryophanales; Staphylococcaceae
Description: bacterial SSU rRNA
Rfam family: Bacterial small subunit ribosomal RNA
Source: RNAcentral